RNAcentral lists this ribosomal RNA (484 nucleotides) under uncultured bacterium. Its description in RNAcentral is "partial 16S ribosomal RNA". It matches the Rfam family "Bacterial small subunit ribosomal RNA", at positions 30 to 507 of the family's 1533-position model. The record is from RNAcentral.
AUUGAACGCUGGCGGCAGGCCUAACACAUGCAAGUCGAGCGGAUGAAGGGAGCUUGCUCCUGGAUUCAGCGGCGGACGGGCGAGUAAUGCCUAGGAAUCUGCCUGGUAGUGGGGGAUAACGUCCGGAAACGGGCGCUAAUACCGCAUACGUCCUGAGGGAGAAAGUGGGGGAUCUUCGGACCUCACGCUAUCAGAUGAGCCUAGGUCGGAUUAGCUAGUUGGUGGGGUAAAGGCCUACCAAGGCGACGAUCCGUAACUGGUUUGAGAGGAUGAUCAGUCAACCUGGAACUGAGACACGGUCCCGACUCCUUCGGGAGGCAGCAGUUGGGAAUAUUGGGCAAUGGGCGGAAGGCUGAACCAGCCAAGGCGCGUGUGUGAAGAAGGUCUUCGGAUUGUAAAACCCUUUUAGUUGGGAGGAAAGGCAGUAAGUUAAUACCUUGCUGUUUUGACGUUACCAACAGAAUAAGCACCGGCUAACUUCGUG